GGAUUGUGGCUCAGCGAUAGAGAUCUUGCCUAGCAUGUGCGAGGCCCUGGGUUCGAUCCUCAGCACCA
RNAcentral lists this transfer RNA (68 nucleotides) under Marmota monax (woodchuck). Its description in RNAcentral is "tRNA.Ala". The record is from RNAcentral. Lineage: Eukaryota; Metazoa; Chordata; Mammalia; Rodentia; Sciuridae.